This is a long non-coding RNA of Solea solea (common sole), 2316 nucleotides long. RefSeq lists it as uncharacterized. The record is from RefSeq and is a predicted model, not a curated record. The transcript has 4 exons. Lineage: Eukaryota; Metazoa; Chordata; Actinopteri; Pleuronectiformes; Soleidae.
ACACGUCAACAACAAAUCUAUGGAUCACACCGAGCAUCUAAUGACAGCGACGUCUGAGCCAGCGGAUCAUUUCAUCAGGACAGGCCGAGGUCACGCUGCUCUGUGCCGGGCACAGUGAGCGCCGAGCGUCCGCAGAGGCGGAGCUUAUCACCUCCGACAAACGUCGCUGCCAAACUAUAAAUACGUCAUAUCUUCAUACACAAACCACAUGUUUGAUUUCUAAAUGACUCAUUUCUCGCCUCAAAUGAUGUUAAAACUUUGUUCCGGGACACAGAAAAAUAUUUAUUUCAGAUUUAUAUUUCUAUUACUUGCUGCUAUGCUCCGCCCAAAUGAAUUCUGGGAUACAUGGCCAUCGCAAGUACACUUAAGUUUUUUUUACUUGGUAAAAAUGGGCGGAGCGAGGACACUUCUGGGUUUGAGAACCGUCCUCGCUGUUCGCUUACUUGAGAAUUGGAACAGCACUUGGACUGAGGCUGAUGACGUUUUCACAAGUACGGGAGUACGCAAGUACGCACAAGUACGGGAGUACGCAAGUACGCACAAGUACGCACAAGUAUGGAUAUUGAGAAACGGCCAGACUCUCUAGCAGUGAUUGGAUACUUACUAGUUUGAGCCACGGCAGUGCUCUGCAGAUCAGCAGAGCCACACCCGGGAUUGUUAACGGUUAAAAACCUUUUUUAACCCACAAUGGCCGAAGGAGAGCUACGCGUUGAUUUGGUUGCUGAUAUACUGGCAAGGCCAUUUUCAAGAAGAACUUUUCAAGAGAAGCUAGAUCUCGUGAGAGGAGGACGGCCGACCCCUGAGCUAGCUAACCUGUCCCAGCCGGGGAAGGGUUCAUUGUCCUGGUAACUGUCAGGUGUGCUGCAGUUCCACCCAAUCUCCGUGGGAGACUGCCACAUAAAGGCGGGCGUAAAGCACCUGUCAGCCCCUUGCUUGCUGGAGGCUGGGUCGCGUCACUCCUGUGCUUCCUCCAUUUCCGCGUCCGUGUGGUUACAGGUGGGCUGCCGGCUGCACUUCUCACGUAUGUCGCCCAUCCAGUGCUAAUGUUAUUGUUUUAUAAAGGUCCACCUGGGUGUUGCUGCUGGCUGCGCGCUGUGUCCCGCUCUGUGUGCGCCGCGCUGUGUGCCGCUCACUGUCCGCCGCUGGUCGCUCUCGGGGAGCGUGAUUCCUCCGUCCCACGCUGUGUUGGCCGGGAUCGCCUGAUCGGACGACUGACCGUAACGGCGCAGCGCCGACUAAUCCGCUCCUAGAACCGCUGCUGCUUUGCUUCCGCUUUGUCUCUUCACUUCUUUGCCUCAUUUAAAGAGAUUAUUUGGACUGAUUGCUGUGCCUCAUUGGAACUGUGUGUUUGAAGAACUGAUCGCCUCGCUUGCAUCGGCAUUUGCCGCUCCGCCGGUCGCUUGGUAACGCGUCUCCGAUAGUUGGCGCAGCUUCAUCUUAAACUGUGCUGAGCCUACGGUGGUGGAUUGGUGUCCUGGUCACGGUGUCCCCUUUUUGUUGUGUUAGCACUUUGUAGCUUCUUUGUUUUGUUUACUUUUAUUUGCUUCACGUGUGGUGUUCCUGGGAUCCCCUUUUCUUUUGGAUACGGUUUAUCGCUGUAGGUCUCAGCACUGAUUGGUUCCCCUUAUAUGUCCCCUUACGUGAGUAAUUCUUUUAUAUUAUUUUUAAAAUAGAAAUUUGUGUAAAUAAAAGUGUUUUUGUAUCAUUGAACUGCCGUCUCUGUCUCGUUGCAUAACGAACCUCAGUGCCUUCCUUUAUUUGGGGUUAGUCCUCUUAUAAGAAAUCCCUGGGUGAAAUUCCCAGGGUGGCGUUGUCUGGCAACUAUUAAAUUUAUCGAUGCUGCCUUAAAAAGGCACCUCCCCAUACCUCGUGUCGCCACACUUACUUGAGUAUUGAGAAACGGCCUCUGUUUCCCUGUUUCAGUGCCAGUGUGUUUUCGUCCAUGCCUGAUCACUAGAGCUCCUCGUUACAGCCACAGAUGCCACAAGUUUUUGAUCCUCUUUGUGAGCGACGCUUUCUUUUGGGCUGGCGAAACCGAUCCAGGAGCAGCUGGUGCCGCUGGACCUGCCGACAAGCCUGGACGCCCUAAUUGCUCUGGCCAUCCGGACCGACAACAGACUCCACAAGCUCAGGCAGCGCGACGACCGACCACCACGCUCUGCAACGCCGACUGGGCUGGCGCCCCACCGAUCACCUCCCGAGCAGCCUCGAUACCCCAGGGAGGGAGUGGGAGAGCCCAUGGAGCUGGGGCGUUUUUUCUUGUCCCAAAUUUUUUUUCAAAUUAUUAAACACUGCCCUCAAUAUCAAGUUAGAACA